AAAGGGUGUGGGACCUAACUUUGUUAGUAGAGAAUGACAAUAUUAUAAUUGUUGGGUUAUUCCUAAUUGGGAAAUGUAACAAGUAUUAAGUAUUGUGCGGCGGAAGAAAAUGGAAAGUGUAACAAGUAAUAUGGGACGAAGAAAGUGUACCGAUAACUAAUUGUUUAAUGCCUUUUUUGAAAGGUAAUGUAAAAUAUCUCAUAAUAAAGUAAUCUAUAACUAUUACUAAAAGAAAUACCGCUGACAUCAUCUUUUCCUCCAAACUAUACACAUGUCACUCUCUCCUCCAAUAUUUUCCCGCCCAAACUGCCUACAUCCCUCACUUCUCUUUUGCGUCAUUUCUAUUCUUCGUUUACGCUUUCCAAUAUUUUUUAAAAAUCACGCUGGCCAGUUACCAAUUUAUGGCUGUGACCAUUGCUAUUUCCUAGGAUUUUUAGAUCUACUGUUUCAAUUUCCCUUGCUUUAAAAGUUUUUUAUGGAAAAACCAUGGAAGGAAACCGAGAAGUUACUGAUUCAAUUUACUCCAAUACUUGUAAUUUUUUUGCUCAAAUUCUUAUUAGUUUUUCCUGUUUCUCGAACAAAUUGCUAUGAUUGAUUAUGUAUUUUUGAUUUUCGGGUAGCUUAAACUUCGGAUUGUUGCAGCUCUUGAACAACUCCAAUGGCAGCUUUGGGUAAUUAGAACUCCAAGUUUAUUUCUCGAAUGUGGGUAAUCACGUUCUACCACUAUGGAAACUGUACUAUUUUGAAUCUAUUUGAAUUCUGAUUUAUGUUUUAUCAACUUUUUUUUCAUUUGAAAUCUUUUUUGUUUUUGAGAGUGAAUUGGAGGAUGGGAUAAAAGUUCUUUCUAUUUUGACAUGGGUGAAGAUGAAUAGCAGAAGAUUCUGGCAAAGAUAUGAGGACGACGUUCUGAAUAGGAAUAACGACGAGGGCGGCUAAGUCGGCGGUAGCAAGGUGUGUCCAUGUCGUCUGUAACGGUGUUUCCGGAAUAAAUUUGAGUUUUGAUUGGAUUUAUCAAUAUACUCAGUAGUUUGCAGUAAUUGGAGGAAUUUUGAUUGGAUUUAUCAAUAUAGUUUGAAGUGGGUUUGGACGGAAUACAUAUUUAAUAUUUUGUUUUGAAGAUGUAUGAAACUUGAGAUUAUUAUACACUUAUGUCGUUCCAUUUAAUUAUUUAAUACAUCUAUGCUUAAUGAAGA
This is a long non-coding RNA of Spinacia oleracea (spinach), 1193 nucleotides long. RefSeq lists it as uncharacterized. The record is from RefSeq and is a predicted model, not a curated record. NCBI's taxonomy places the organism in Eukaryota, Viridiplantae, Streptophyta, Magnoliopsida, Caryophyllales, Amaranthaceae. The transcript is spliced from 2 exons.